RNAcentral lists this transfer RNA (86 nucleotides) under Streptomyces sp. YIM 130001. Its description in RNAcentral is "tRNA-Cys". Lineage: Bacteria; Bacillati; Actinomycetota; Actinomycetes; Kitasatosporales; Streptomycetaceae. The record is from RNAcentral.
CACCGACCUGCGGGAGCAGGGCAUCGGCUGCCUGCACGGCACCUGGGCGAGUCACGUCCAGCCCGCGUUCGAGUCCCGGCAGGUGU